Long non-coding RNA from Solanum pennellii, 797 nucleotides. RefSeq lists it as uncharacterized. The record is from RefSeq and is a predicted model, not a curated record. Lineage: Eukaryota; Viridiplantae; Streptophyta; Magnoliopsida; Solanales; Solanaceae. The transcript is spliced from 2 exons.
GGAAGAUGACAAGAAUAUAAAAAUGAAGAUAAAAGAUAAAGACGGAAGAUGACAAGAAGAUAAAGAUAAAGAAAAAAGGAAACACAAAAACGUGUUUGGCCACAUAAAGCUAAAAGUAGAUAUGUAAAAGUCUUGAAAUAAAUAGUAGUAGUCACAUAACUUAGUCUACAUAUGCAUGUGCAUUAUUAAAGAUAUGUUGACAAGUGUAAAGUAUGGUAGGUAGGGUGUAUUAUUUAAAAGACAAGUGUAAAAGUAGUACGGUAGGGAUAGUUGUAAAGUAAGUGUAGAGUAUAGUAAGUGCAGUAAAAUGCACUAAUUCCUUUCUAUAUAAAGGAAGGAAUAUGCCAUAAAGGGGGGCAAGUCCUGAAAUAUAAAAUUUUCUUUUAAAAACACUCUCUCAACCAAAAAAUUAGUAUUUAGAUAAAUGGAGCAACAAUCUGAAAUUCAAUUAGACAUUUCAGAUAGCAUGAAUACGCAAGAAACAAAGAAUAUUGGAAGCUUUUUCUCGCUUUAUUUUCCCUCGUAAGCAUCACGUGUGGUUUAAACAUCAUUACUUCACUCAUCGUACAAGCAUCACUUGAAGUGUAAAAUAUUAAAUCUUUUAUUGUUAUCAUUAUGGAUUAAGUUAAGCAACCCAAAUCAUUGUAUGAACAUGUUUCUCAUCAAAGUACUUACCAACACUUCUAAGUUGAGGCAUCGUUUUAGUCGUCACUCGUAUUUUUUGUUUGAUACAGUGAUUAUCUCAAUUCUUCAAUGUGCAAAUUAAAUUGUAAACUAUUUUGGGUGAGUUUGUACUA